ACACUGCCAAGAAAAGCUUCUAGUGAGAAAGUAACUGCCCGUACCGCAAACCGACACAGGUAGUUGAGGAGAGAAUCCUAAGGUGUGCGAGAGAACUCUCGUUAAGGAACUCGGCAAAAUGACCCCGUAACUUCGGGAGAAGGGGUGCUGACCGCAAGGUCAGCCGCAGUGAAUAGGCCCAAGCGACUGUUUAUCAAAAACACAGGUCUCUGCAAAAUCGAAAGAUGACGUAUAGGGGCUGACGCCUGCCCGGUGCUGGAAGGUUAAGAGGAGAGGUUAGCGCAAGCGAAGCUUUGAAUUGAAGCCCCAGUAAACGGCGGCCGUAACGAUAAUGGUCCUAAGGUAGCGAAAUUCCUUGUCGGGUAAGUUCCGACCCGCACGAAAGGCGUAACGAUUUGGGCACUGUCUCAACGAGAGACUCGGUGAAAUUAUAGUACCAGUGAAGAUGCUGGUUACCCGCGACAGGACGGAAAGACCCCAUGGAGCUUUACUGCAGUUUGAUAUUGCGUGUUUGUAUCACAUGUACAGGAUAGGUAGGAGCCGAAGAUACCGGGACGCCAGUCUCGGAGGAGGCAACGGUGGGGUACUACCCUUGUGAUAUGACCACUCUAACCCGCUGCUCUUAGCGAGCAGGGAGACAGUGUCAGACGGGCAGUUUGACUGGGGCGGUCGCCUCCAAAAAUGUAACGGAGGCGCCCAAAGGUUCCCUCAGAAUGGUUGGAAAUCAUUCGUAGAGUGUAAAGGCAGAAGGGAGCUUGACUGCGAGACCUACAAGUCGAGCAGGGACGAAAGUCGGGCUUAGUGAUCCGGUGGUUCCGCAUGGAAGGGCCAUCGCUCAACGGAUAAAAGCUACCCUGGGGAUAACAGGCUUAUCUCCCCCAAGAGUUCACAUCGACGGGGAGGUUUGGCACCUCGAUGUCGGCUCAUCGCAUCCUGGGGCUGUAGUCGGUCCCAAGGGUUGGGCUGUUCGCCCAUUAAAGCGGUACGCGAGCUGGGUUCAGAACGCCGUGAGACAGUUCGGUCCCUAUCCGUCGCGGGCGUUGGAAAUUUGAGAGGAGCUGUCCUUAGUACGAGAGGACCGGGAUGGACACACCGCUGGUGUACCAGUUGUUCUGCCAAGAGCAUCGCUGGGUAGCUAUGUGUGGACGGGAUAAACGCUGAAAGCAUCUAAGCGUGAAGCCCCCCUCAAGAUGAGAUUUCCCAUCACUUUAAGUGAGUAAGACCCCUGAGAGAUGAUCAGGUAGAUAGGUUGGGAGUGGAAGUACAGCGAUGUAUGGAGCGGACCAAUACUAAUCGGUCGAGGACUUAACCU
This 1312-nucleotide ribosomal RNA is filed under the name metagenome. RNAcentral describes it as "bacterial LSU rRNA". It matches the Rfam family "Bacterial large subunit ribosomal RNA", at positions 1602 to 2925 of the family's 2925-position model. The record is from RNAcentral.